GACGAACGCUGGCGGCGUGCCUAAUACAUGCCAGUCGAACGCUUCUUUCCUCCCGAGUGCUUGCACUCAAUUGGAAAGAGGAGUGGCGGACGGGUGAGUAACACGUGGGUAACCUACCCAUCAGAGGGGGAUAACACUUGGAAACAGGUGCUAAUACCGCAUAACAGUUUAUGCCGCAUGGCAUAAGAGAGAAAGGCGCUUUCGGGUGUCGUUGAUGGAUGGACCCGCGGUGCAUUAGCUAGUUGGUGAGGUAACGGCUCACCAAGGCCACGAUGCAUAGCCGACCUGAGAGGGUGAUCGGCCACACUGGGACUGAGACACGGCCCAGACUCCUACGGGAGGCAGCAGUAGGGAAUCUUCGGCAAUGGACGAAAGUCUGACCGAGCAACGCCGCGUGAGUGAAGAAGGUUUUCGGAUCGUAAAACUCUGUUGUUAGAGAAGAACAAGGACGUUAGUAACUGAACGUCCCCUGACGGUAUCUAACCAGAAAGCCACGGCUAACUACGUG
This 508-nucleotide ribosomal RNA is filed under the name uncultured bacterium. Its description in RNAcentral is "partial 16S ribosomal RNA". It matches the Rfam family "Bacterial small subunit ribosomal RNA", at positions 28 to 507 of the family's 1533-position model. The record is from RNAcentral.